CACAAAUAGUUACUUUACAAAAUAUUUUCUUUAACGAGUUUGAUAAAUUAAUGCCUGCUCACAACUGUCCAUCCACCGGCCCAUCCCUUGGCUCAAACACUUAUAGGGGUGGGGAAAGAUGUGCAACCAAGUAAGAUUGCGCUGACGAGAGGAAUCAUGAGAUCUGCACAAGAAACAAGCGGUUGUGACGGGAAAAGCUGCAUUCACCUCCUUGAAAGGUAUUGAUUCUGAGAGAAUUGAUGUUUGCUGGAGUAUGCUUAGAUCCACAAAAGUGGCUUUUUGUUAGUCAAAGUGAGUCGGAGUUGCAGCAAGUCGAGCAUUCAGUUUGUUGGUCCGAGGGGAAAACAAAUGACUCAAGUUCUGUUUGUGAAAUGCAAACACAAAAGUAACGACUUCAUGCAAAUGCUGAGCGUGUGUGUGGAGCCUCCCGGCAUGGAUGAUGCUGAAACUUAACAAUAUAGAAGCUUUUCAGCUCAAAAGAUUAAAGCAGAAGGAAGUGUUUUUGUUUUUUUAAAUAUCUGAUGUAAUAUGCAUUAUUUUAUUUAUUAUGUUUUCUAAGUCAGACAGAUUACGGCUAAUCAGUGGUCAUUCUAGGUGUGACGUUUUACGAUCAUCCUGAGAUUCUUAUAGUGUGAAUGCUUAGUGAACAUUCACACUAUAGUGCUUCUCCUGCUCCUUUCUGUAUGUUUUUCAGCACAUAAAAACUCAAGAACACUUUCAGCAAUCUUGGUGUCAACACCUUGUUCAGGACAUUACUGCUUGUAUUUUUGGUAUUCAUAAACUUUAUAGUUUUUGAAAUAUUGAGCAAAAUAUACCCAAUAGGAAAUGAACGAGACAGUCUUAAAAUGUCAACAUUUUAAGUAGAUUCGCAACAAUCUACCUUAGCCUUUAGAUAUAUUCAUGGGCUAUGUUUUCAUUUUUUAUAGUAAUUUUAAAAAAUUGAGUUUAGCUAAUAUUUUAGCAA
Molecule: long non-coding RNA, 964 nt
Organism: Oryzias melastigma (Indian medaka)
Lineage: Eukaryota; Metazoa; Chordata; Actinopteri; Beloniformes; Adrianichthyidae
Exons: 3
Source: RefSeq, a predicted model, not a curated record